CUAUUCACCGUCUGUGAUAGUAUGAAGUUCUAGUUGAUACUAUCCACCAUCACUUGAUGACACAGAACAUGAAGCUAUGCGUAUAAGUUCUGUUUGGUUACAUUUAUAAUCUGGUCAUAGAGAGAACGAUCAGAAUGCUAAACAACAAAAGAUGUUAACUAUGGAGAUACUAAGAAAUCAAAAAUUGAAAAACAUUGUCGAAGAAACAAUGCAAAAAUCUUAUUCGGAGUAUUCAAUCGUGUUAUCCCUGGGUUGAAUAGUGUAUUAUCAAAUCAUACCGCUUUAUUGUUGAUCGUGCUAUUGUGAAGAGUGUAUUAUCAAAUCACAGUGUAGUGAAUUUCGAAUCGAUCACUAUGACUCAUAGAUACCUGGGUUGAAGAGUGUAGUAUAUAUUAAAUCAUACAAUUUUGGGGUUAA
Long non-coding RNA from Solanum pennellii, 417 nucleotides. RefSeq lists it as uncharacterized. NCBI's taxonomy places the organism in Eukaryota, Viridiplantae, Streptophyta, Magnoliopsida, Solanales, Solanaceae. The record is from RefSeq and is a predicted model, not a curated record. The transcript has 2 exons.